Molecule: ribosomal RNA, 820 nt
Filed under: uncultured bacterium
Lineage: Bacteria
Description: bacterial SSU rRNA
Rfam family: Bacterial small subunit ribosomal RNA
Source: RNAcentral
AGAGUUUGAUCCUGGCUCAGGAUGAACGCUGGCGGCGUGCUUAACACAUGCAAGUCGAGCGAAGCAGUUAAGUUGAUUUCUUCGGAUUGAUUCUUGACUGACUGAGCGGCGGACGGGUGAGUAACGCGUGGGUGACCUGCCCCAUACCGGGGGAUAACAGCUGGAAACGGCUGCUAAUACCGCAUAAGCGCACAGAGCUGCAUGGCUCGGUGUGAAAAACUCCGGUGGUAUGGGAUGGGCCCGCGUCUGAUUAGGCAGUUGGCGGGGAAACGGCCCACCAAACCGACGAUCAGUAGCCGGCCUGAGAGGGCGACCGGCCACAUUGGGACUGAGAAACGGCCCAAACUCCUACGGGAGGCAGCAGUGGGGAAUAUUGCACAAUGGGGGAAACCCUGAUGCAGCGACGCCGCGUGAGCGAAGAAGUAUUUCGGUAUGUAAAGCUCUAUCAGCAGGGAAGAUAAUGACGGUACCUGACUAAGAAGCCCCGGCUAACUACGUGCCAGCAGCCGCGGUAAUACGUAGGGGGCAAGCGUUAUCCGGAUUUACUGGGUGUAAAGGGAGCGUAGACGGCAAGGCAAGUCUGAUGUGAAAACCCAGGGCUUAACCCUGGGACUGCAUUGGAAACUGUCUGGCUCGAGUGCCGGAGAGGUAAGCGGAAUUCCUAGUGUAGCGGUGAAAUGCGUAGAUAUUAGGAAGAACACCAGUGGCGAAGGCGGCUUACUGGACGGUAACUGACGUUGAGGCUCGAAAGCGUGGGGAGCAAACAGAAUUAGAUACCCUGGUAGUCCACGCCGUAAACGAUGAAUGCUAGGUGUUGGGG